CAUUCUUGGUGGCCUUCCAUCAAAACAAGCAGCUGAUUGGAGACAGGGGACUGCUGCCCUGCAGAGUGUACCUGAGAAGUGUGCAGCAGCACUUCCGUGGGCGAGUCAGCUGGGACACCGUGAGCUAUGCCCCCACCGUCCUCUGGCUGCUGGACUGGUCUCACAUGGACUCCAACCUGGACACCCUGGCUCUUCUUGGGCUGGGCAUCUCCUCUUUCAUCCUGGUGUCCGGCUGCGCCAAUAUGGUCCUCAUGGCUGCUCUCUGGGUCCUCUACAUGUCCCUGGUCAACGUGGGGCAGAUCUGGAUGGGAGUCCCAGCUUCUAGAGACCGGCUUCCUGGGGAUUUUCCUGUGCCCUUUCUGGACUCUGUCUCCGUUGCCCAGGAGGACCCCUACAUCCCGGAUCGUCCUGUGGGGCUUUCGGUGGCUGAUUUUCAGAAUUAUGCUCGGAGCUGGCCUGAUCAAGAUCCGGGGGGACCGGUGCUGGCGGGACCUCACUUGCAUGGACUUCCACUAUGAGACACAGCCAGUGCCCAACCCCGUGGCCUACUUCCUGCACCACUCCCCGUGGUGGUUCCACCGCUUCGAGACCCUCAGCAACCACUUCCUGGAGCUGGUGGUGCCCUUCUUCGUCUUCCUCGGACGACGGAUGUGCGUCCUUCACGGGGCGCUACAGAUCCUGUUCCAGGUGGUCCUCAUCAUCAGCGGGAACCUGAGCUUCCUGAACUGGCUGACCAUCGUGCCCAGCAUCGCCUGCUUCGACGACGCCACUCUGGGCUUCCUGUUUCCCUUGGGGCCUGGCCGCCUCAAGGACCAAGUCCUGAAGAUGCAGGAGGAGGAAGCUCGAGGGGCUAGGGCCCCGUGGACACGUGGCAGCGUGGCGCGGCGCACCGUCAACCUGGCACUGGGCGUCCUGGUCGCCUGGCUCAGCGUCCCCGUGGUCCUCAACUUGCUGAGCCCCCGGCAGGUCAUGAAUAGCUCCUUCAACCCUCUCCGGAUUGUCAACACAUACGGGGCCUUCGGCAGCAUCACCAAGGAGCGCACAGAGAUCAUCCUGCAGGGUACAGCCAGCCCCAAUGCCAGCGCACCGGAUGCCAAGUGGGAGGACUACGAGUUCAAGUGCAAGCCUGGCGACCUAAGGCGGCAGCCGUGCCUCAUCUCCCCAUACCACCACCGCCUAGACUGGCUCAUGUGGUUCGCCGCCUUCCAGACCUACGAGCACAAUGAGUGGAUCAUCCACCUGGCGGGCAAGCUCCUGGCCAACGAUGUCCAGGUCCUGUCGCUGCUGGCUCUCAACCCCUUCGCGGGCAGGGCACCCCCCAGGUCCCUACCGCGUCCAGGAGGGACCUGUGCAAGGGAGAAGCCGGGGCUCCCUCCUCAGAACCUGCACGCGCCCACACACGCUCUUCUCCACAGUGACCAGCACCCAGAGGUGUGGACAGAGGACCUCUGUCCUCCUUGGGUGGGCCGCCCCCACCGGCCCUGCGCAAGGUGCCUCCGCCCCUCCUUUGUGACCAUGUCGCCCAGUCUCGCUUGGAGCCUCCUGCUCCCUGACCUGGGGUCGGGGUGGGGAAUGGGACCGCAGAGGGGUCAGGCCUGGCCUGGGUGCUGGCGUCCGCAGGGCAGCGAUUCUGAGGCCAGCUCACUGCAGGUUGAACUGGGUUAAUGGUGUGUUGCUUGGCGACCCUCCUGGACUGCAGCCCAGAACCUCUACAGCCUGAUGUCAGAUGGCCUCCUCUUCUGCCUCUGCCGGACCCCAGGCUGCUCCUGGUCACACCUGGGCUGAUGGGGGACUUGGCCUGGCCCCUCCGUGCUGGAGACACUGUGGACCUGAUGAAAGAGAAGGGCUCAGACACUCACAUCUGCUCCACCUGAUGCUGCCUCUGUGCAGUUUCAGUACCGUCGGCUGUUCUGGUGGGAUGGGGGUUGGGGGGUGUUGGUCUAGGACACGAGGUGGGGCCUUGGCUCGCCCCUCUGUCAGGCUCAGGCUGCUCUGCCAGGGUUCUGUGUUCACCUUUUAAAACCAGGAGUCAGUCUGAGGCUCCUGGGGAGGGGGCAGCAGGAAUCUCCUCAGGCCACAGGAGGGUGGCCCACUCUCAGGAGCAGCUGUCCUGGAGAGGGGUGAGUAGGACGUGGCCAGGGCACCCUGACCUCCCAAGGGACUGGAAAUUUAAAAUCUGUUCUUCCUACCCACUCUCUCGAGCCAACACCCCUUGAAAAUCACUGUCUGACGAGUCAGCCGUCACUGAGACCCCCAGCCCAUCUGGGGGCAUCUCCCCUGCAGAGCACUCUGCCCCUGUGGCUGUCACACAUCUGAAUGGGGCCUGCCUGGUGAUGGCAGUGACGCCCAGGCCCAGCCAGAUCCCCACGGGCUGCAGAGGGUACCCCAGUCCCCCACCCCCUCAACUCUCCCAACUGGAGGGACCAGCACUCGGCCCUCUUGCUCCAGGACUGGACAUAGGACUCAGGACUCCAGUCACCGGGCAGUGGCUGAGCUCGGGCAACCCACUGAGCCUGGCUGUUGGCCCAUCCAGAGCUGCAGGCUCAUCCAGGAGCCUGUCUCAUGGAGGACCCACUACCUCCCUCUUGCUUCAGGACAGGACGAGGGGCUCAGGCACAGGUACUGUCCCCGUGAGGACGGUGAGUACCAGCCUCUCUCCAGCAAAGGGGCUCUGGGGCAUCUUCCACUUCGCCUAGAAAUUUUCACUCAGAGGUGAUCAGUGCAUCUUGCGUGCCUGCUGAGGCCAGGCCCACCCUCCUCUUAGCCUAGUCAGAUCAGAACCCUCCCUGGGCUUCUGCAUCCACACAGGGAUGGCCUGGUGCUGUGCGCUCUUUAGGCCGCUGGCUCUGGGGGGACAGGGUCAGCAAACUCCUGGCCUGGUGGCUUUGCAAGAGCAGGAAGAUCUCCACAUCAGUGUAUGCUGAGUUUAAGCAUGUUACCAGUUGUUAGAAUGGGCCAUGAAGACACAGAAAACCUGAGCAGUCGUGGAGAGCUUCGCUGCCUCUCUCCACGGUCCACAGCAUUCCCCCACAACUUCUGGGUCCCCACUGUGGGGUAAGGCUCUUCUCCCUCCUGAUGUUCAUCCGGGGCUUUUCUCUCGUGUCCUCUUCAGUCUUCUCAGCUCCAGCUUUGUCUUCUUCCAUCAACUGUCCUCUUCCACUUUCUGUUUCACAUACAUACGUUCUAUUAUUUCCUUCCACCUUUUCAGGUUUGCCUUCUGUCUCCUUGGGUUGCAGACUUUAUCUCUUUCUAUUCCUCCUCCUGAUUUCUAGGAACACCAGCUAAGGACCCCACACACACAAGUGGCUGUACCUGCAGGCUCUAUUGACCAUUGUGGGCUUCGUGAAUUCUAGAAAUUGUGAUGUCCUCUUAAUCGAAUAACAGAGGUGGGGAUUUAAAUGUUCAGAUGAAUGGAUUUGGGAGGCAGGCUUUUACCUUGAAUUUUAUCACCAUGUUUACCACUCCCAGCACCCCUCACUCACCCCCCAUGCCUCCAGCACCCUGAAUCAACACCCCUUUCAGAAGUGAACUGAUUCUGGUGGAAAGGAUACCUCCAAUUCUGAGACAGUUGCAUCCCUCUGCUAAGGGGUUCCCUUGCUCAGUUAGCAUCAUGAUAGCCUUUUCCCCAGGGUCCAUCCCCAGCCUGUAUCCCGCAGCUUGAGGAUACCAUGGACGUUUGUCUUCAGGGAUUCAGUUCCAAGCCACUGAGUAAGGUGGAAUUCACAUGCCAGCAAACCCACCUUUAAAACUCCUAAAGUAAUCAGCAAAAUAGAACUGUAGUCUGACUGACAAAAAGAUACAAGUAACUGAAAUCAAAGAAGUCAAGUGGGGACACAACUACCAACAUAUAGACAUAAAAAGGAUUACAAGAGAACAGUAUGAAUAAUUGUAGCCAACAAAUAAGGUAACCUAGACAAUGGACAAAUUCUUAAAGACAUAAAAAAUGUUUAAAGUGACUCAGGAAGAAAUAAGAAAUUUGAAGAAAUCUAUAUAGCAAGUAAGGAGAUUGAAUCAAUAAUCAAAACCUCUCAGCAGAGAAAAGCACUGCAUCAGAUGGCUUUGUUACUGAACUCUCCCAAGAAUUAAAGAAAAAUUAACACCAGUCCUUCCCAAACUCUUCCAAAAAAUUAGAAGAGGGGGGAACACUUCCUAACUCAUCCUGUGAGGCCAGUAUUACCCUGGUAACAAAGCCUGACAAAGACAACAGUAUCCUUUAUGAACAAAGAUACAAAAAUCCUCAACAAAAUACUAGCAAAACAAAUAUAUCAGCACAUUAAGAGGAUUAUAUGCCAUGAUCAAGUGGUAUUUAUCCCAGGAAUGCCAGUGGUUCAACAUAAGAAAAUCAAUCAGUGCAAUACACCACACUGACAGGAAAAAAAAAAAAAAUGAUCAUCUCAGUUGAUGCAGAAAAAUCAUUUGAAAAAGAUCCAACUCUCUCAUGAUAAAAACCACUCAAAACUAGGAAUAGAAGGGAACUUCCUCAACAUAAUAAAAGACAUUUAUGAAAAACCCACAGUUAAUAUCAUACUCAGUGAUGAAAGACUGAAAACUUUCCCUCUAUGAUCAAGACAAGGAUGCCCAUUUUCACCACUGCUAUUCAACAUUGUACUUGAGGUCUAGCAAGAGCAAUUAGUCAAGAAAAAUAAUUAAAAGGCUUUGAAACUGGAAGAAGCAAAACUAUAUUCACAGAUGAUGAAAUCCUAUAUAUAGAAAAUUCCAGUGAUCCACGAAAAUGCUACUGGAGCUAAUAAACUAAUUUAGCAAAGUUGCAGGGUACAAGGUCAACACACAAAAAUCAGAUAUUUAUAAACCUGCAAUGAACAAUCUGAGAAAGAAACUAAGGGAAAAAAUGCUGCUUAUAAUAGCAUCCAAAAGAAUAAAAUACCUAAAAAUAAAUUUAACCAAGGAGGUGAGAGACUUGUACGCUAAGAAGUACAAAGCACUGCUGAAAGAAGUCAAAACCCAAGUGAGAGGUGUCCAUUUCUGUGGAUUUGAUGACUUAAUAUUGUUAAGAUGACAAUACUAACAGUAUCUACAGAGUAGAUGAAAUAUCUAUCAAAAUUCCAAUGGCCUUUUUUGUAGAAAUAUAAAGGCCAAUCCUCACAUCCAUAUAGAAUUGUAACGGGCCCCAAAUAAUGAAAACAAUCUUGAAAAAGAAGAAAGUUGACAGAUUCACACUUCCUGAUAUUAAAACUUAGUACAGGGACUUCCCUGGUGGUCCAGUGGUAAAGAAUCUGCCUUCCAGUGCAGGGGACACGGGUUCAGUCUCUGGCUGUGGAACUAAGAUCCCACAUGCUGAGGGACAACUAAGUCAGUGUGCCACAACUACUGAGCUUGUGCACCUCAACUAGAGGCACCUACCAGGCACUGGUGGGGGACCACAGACAGUUAAGGGGGUGGGAGGAAGCCCCAGCAAUUGGGUAGGAUGUGGGGGAGGGGGAGAAGUGAAGACAGGAGGUGACCAGUGCCCCUGAGGGACAGCUGGGGUAGAGGAAGGGAUCCCAAACCUGGAGGGGGAAGUGGGAGGGCAGAGGAUCAGAAGAGAGCAUGGCCAGUGUUUCCCCUGCCCACCUGGGCCCCAGGGAGCCUGCUGAGAUUGAGGGCCUGAUCCUCUGCCCACCCAGGCCCCCUCCAGCCAUGUGGGUCCUGACAGAGUGGGAGGGAGGGAAGGGGAAGCAAAAGUAAAGGCUGGACCUAUGGGACUGGCACCCCUGAGCAGUGGCUGGAGGAGGGGAGGAGUUACCACAUCCAGUGGGGCUCACCCACGGUUUAGCAGUACCAGGGGAACCCUCAGGAGAGUGCAGGAGUGGAAGGGAGCGUGGCCAGCACAUUCCCCACCCACUUGGGCACCAGGGAGCCUGUUGGGCUCCCAGGCCUGAUCCUCUGCCCUCCAAGUGGCAUCACAGAGCCUUAGGCCCACCCCAGCACCCCCACCGGGCCCUACCUCUAUACUGGCACUCGGAGACCCUCUCUAAGACUCCCUCCAACCAUGCUAGGCCUAAACCCUGCCAACUCUGGAACCCUCCAAACUCUGGAACUCCACACUCCGAGGCUCCCCUCAGGCCAUGCUGCCUUUCGCCUGCCAGGUAGGUCCUAAGCCUAGGCCCCAAACCACAGUUGAAUAUCGCUCCACCUAGGCCCUGCCCCAAGGCCUUGUCCAGCUUUUUUUCUUCUUUUAGGUUGCGGUUCUGUUUUACCUUGCUGUUGAUUUGUUUGUAUUUUUAUUUUUGCUAAUCUUUUAUUUUUCUAAUUUUAUUUUAUUCUUUAUACUUUGUUAUUGUUCUGCUCCUUUUGGCUUGUUCCCUUUUUUUUUCUCUCUCUCUUGUGAUUCUGUUUAUACCUUUUAGUUGUUUCAAUUAUAUUUUUAUUUUUCCUAAUACACUUUUUAUCUUUCUAAUUUUAUUUUAUUUUUUAUUCUUUGUUAUUGUACUGCUCUUUCUUUUGUUUUGCCACACCAUGCUGCUUGUGGGAUCUUGGCUCCCAGGCCAGGGUUCAGGCCUGAGCUCCUGUGGUAGGAGUGCCAAGUCCAAACUGCUAAACUAACAGAGAACCUCAGACCUCAGGGAAUAUUAAUCAGAGUGAGGCCUCCUGGAGGUCCUUAUCUCAUCACCAAGACCUGGCUCUACCCAACUGCCUGCAAACUCCAGUGCUAGACGCCUCAAGCCAAACAAUCAGUAAGACAGGAUAAAGCCCCACCCAUCAAAGAAAAAAUAAAAUGACAAUAUGUUAACAGACGAAUGAGCAAGGUAAAAACGAGAAAAUAAAUGAAGCAGAAAUAGGCAACCUAUCUGAAACAGAAUUCAGAGCAAUGAUAGUAAAGGUGAUCCAGAAUCUUGGAAAUAGAAUGGAGGCAUGGAUCAAGAAAAUACAAGAAAUGUUUAACAAAGAUCUAGAAGAACUAAAGAACAGAGAUGAACAACACAAUAACUGAAAUGAAGGAUACACUUCAAGGAGUCAGUAGCAGAACAACUGAGGUAGAAGAAUGGAUAAGUGAGCUGGAAGAUUAAAUGGUGGAAAUAACUGCCACAGAGCAGAAUAAAGAAAAAAGAAUGAAAAUAAUUGAAGACAAUCUCAGAGACCCCUGGGACAACAUUAAACACACCAACAUUUGAAUUACAGGGAUCCCAGAAGAAGAAGAGAAAAAGGGUCUGAGAAAAUAUUUGAAGGAUAUGAAAACUUCCCUAACAUGGGAAAGGAAAUAGCCACCCAAAUCCAGGAAGUGCAGAGAGUCCCAUACAGGAUAAACCUUAGGAGAAACACACCAAGACACAUAUUAAUCAAGCUAACAAAAAUUAAAUUCAAAGAAAAAAUAUUAAAAGCAGCAAGACAAAAGCAACAAAUAACAUACAAGGGAAUCCCCAUAAGGUUAUCAACUGAUUUCUCAGCAGAAACUCUACAGGCCAGAAGGGGGUGGCAGGAUAUAUUUAAAGUGAUGAAAGGGAAAAACCGACAACCAAGAUUACCCAGCAAUGAUCUCAUUCAGAUUUAAUGGGGAAAUGAAAAGCUUUACAGACAAGCAAAAGCUAGGAGAAUUCAGCACCACCAAACCAGCUUUACAACAAAUGCUAAAGGAACUUAUCUAAGCGGGAAACACAAGAGAAGGAAAAGACCCACAAAACAAACCCAAAUCAAUUGAGAAAAUGGUAAUAGGAACAUACAUAUUGAUAAUCACCUUGAAUGUAAAUGGAUUAAAUGCUCCAACCAAAAGACACAGACUGGCUGAAUGGAUACAAAAACAAGACCCUUAUAUAUGCUGUCUACAAAAGACCCAGUUCAGACCUAGGGACACAUACAGACUGAAAGUGAGGGGAUGGAAAAAGGUAUUACAUGCAAAUGGAAAUCACAAGAAAUCUGUACAAGUAGCAAUAUUCAUAUCAGAUAAAAUAGACUUUAAAGACUGUUACAAGAGCUAAGGAAAGACACUACAUAAUGAUCAAGGGAUCAAUUCAAGAAGAAAACAUAACAAUUAUAAAUAUUUAUGCACCUAACAUAAGAGCACCUCAAUACACACGGCAAAUGCUAAUAGCUGUAAAAUGGGAAAUCAACAGUAACACAAUAAUAGGGGACUUUAACGCACUUACACCAAUAGACAGCUCACCCAGACAGAAAAUAAGGAAACACAAGCUUUAAAUGACACAACAGACCAGACAGACUUAAUUGAUAUUUAUAGGACAUUCCACCUGAAAGUGGAAGAAUACACUUUCUUCUCAAGUGCACAUGGAAUGUUCUCCACAAUAGAUCACAUCUUUGGUCACAAAUCAAGCCUCGGAAAAGUUAAGAAAAUUGAAACUAUAUCAAGCAUCUUUUCCAACUACAAUGUUAUGAGAUUAGAAACCAAUUACAGGAAAAAAAAUCUGUAAAAAACACAAACACAUGGAAGCUAAACAGUGCACUGCUAAAUAACUGAGAGACCCCUGAAGAAAUCAAAGAAGAAAUUUUAAAAUACCUAGAAACAAAUGAUAAUGAAAACAAGACAAUCCAAAACCUAUGGGAUGCAGCAAAGCAGUUCCAAGAGGGAAGUUUAUAGCAAUUCGAGCCCACCUCAAGAAAAAAGAAAAUUCUCAAACAAUCUAACCUUACACCUAAAGCAACUAGAAGAAGAACAAAGAAAACCCCAAGUUAGUAGAAAGAAAUCAUAAAGAUCAGAGAAGAAAUAAACAGAAAUGAAGAAAACAAUAGCAAAGAUGAAUAAAACUAAAAGUUGGUUCUUUGAGAAGAUAAACAAAAUUGAUAAACCUUUAGCCAGACUCAUCAAGAAAAAAAGGGGAGAGGACACAAAUCAAUAAAAUUAGAAAUGAAAAAUGAGAGAUUACAACUAAAACUGCAGAAAUACAAAGGAUUAUAAGAGACUACUACAGGGGCUUCUCUGGUGGCACAGUGGUUAAGAAUCUGCCCACCAGUGCAGGGGACACAGGCUUGAUCCUUGGUCCGGGAAGAUCCCACAUGCCACAGAGCAGCUAAGCCCAUGCACCAUAACUACUGAGCCUGCGCUCUAGAGCCUGUGAGCCACAACUAUUGAGCCUGUAUGCCACAACUACUGACGCCCACGUGCCUAGAGCCUGUGCUACACAAUAGAAGCCACUGCACUGAGAAGCCUGCACACAGCAACUAAGAGUUCGAAGAGAUCAAAUUAUUGCUACACAUUUGAACCUCAAAAACAGGCUGAGCUAAUGAAUCCAGAAACAAAAGAAUACACACUGUAUGAUUCCAUUUAUACAGCACUCUAGGGAGGAAAAAGUCUCAACUACAGGGACAGAGAACAGGUCAGUGGUUACCAGGAGCCGGGUUGGGGAGGGAUUGACUGAGAACUGGAACAAGGGAAUAUUUGCGGGGGCUGGAAAUGUUCUAUAUCUUAAUUGCGCAGUAGGUACCUCUGUGUACACAUUUGUCAAAAACCAUCAAGGUGGGCGGGGUGGGGGAGAGAUGAAUUGGGAGAUUGGGGUUGACAUAUAUACACUAUUGAUACUAUGUAUAAAAUUGACAAUGAAAACCUACUGUAUAGCACAGGGAACUCUACUCAAUGCUCUGUGGUGAUCUAAGUGGGAAGGAAAUCCAAAAAAGGGGAUAUAUGUAUACCUAUAGCUGAUUCACUUUGCUGUACAGUAUAAACUAACACAACAUUGUAAAGCAACUAUACUCCAAUAAAAAUUUAAAAAAAAGAACUAUCAA
Molecule: RNA transcript, 9669 nt
Organism: Hippopotamus amphibius kiboko
Lineage: Eukaryota; Metazoa; Chordata; Mammalia; Artiodactyla; Hippopotamidae
Gene: LMF1
Gene name: lipase maturation factor 1
Exons: 10
Source: RefSeq, a predicted model, not a curated record